RNAcentral lists this ribosomal RNA (439 nucleotides) under uncultured bacterium. Its description in RNAcentral is "partial 16S ribosomal RNA". It matches the Rfam family "Bacterial small subunit ribosomal RNA", at positions 339 to 795 of the family's 1533-position model. The record is from RNAcentral.
CUACGGGACGCUCCAGUGAGGAAUAUUGCACAAUGGGGGGAACCCUGAUGCAGCAACGCCGCGUGGAGGAUGACGCAUUUCGGUGUGUAAACUCCUUUUAUAUGUCAAGAAAAUGACGGUAGCAUAUGAAUAAGCACCGGCUAACUCCGUGCCAGCAGCCGCGGUAAUACGGAGGGUGCAAGCGUUACUCGGAAUCACUGGGCGUAAAGGACGCGUAGGCGGGUUGGAAGGUCAGGUGUGAAAUCCUACAGCUUAACUGGAGAACUGCACUUGAAACUGCUAAUCUAGAGUAUGGGAGGGGGAGAUGGAAUUAGUGGUGUAGGGGUAAAAUCCGUAGAUAUCACUAGGAAUACCUAAAGCGAAGGCGAUCUCCUGGAACAUUACUGACGCUAAGGCGUGAAAGCGUGGGGAGCAAACAGGAUUAGAUACCCCCGUAGUC